GGGUCUCACUAUGUUACCCAGGCUGUAGUGCAGUGAUGCAAUCUCUGCUCACUGCAGCCUCGACCGUCUAGGCUCAAGCAACUCUCCUGCCUCAGCCUCUCAAGUAGCUGGGACCAGAGGCGUGCACCACCACGUCUGACCAUCUGUAUUUUUUUAAUAGAGACACGGUUUUGCCAUGUUGCCCAGGCUGGUCUUGAACUCCUGAGCUCAAAGCGAUCCACCUGCCUUGGCCUCCCAAAAUGCUGGGAUGACAGGCAUGAGCCACUGCGCCCGGCACCAGGUCAUGUUUUUUUGUUGUUGUUCAGCCAAGUUUGAGAUUCCCUGAGCCAGGCAAAUGUCAACUGCAGUUUCCAGCCCUCAGCAUCUACACCUCUGGCGUCUUUCAUACAGGAUCAUUUCAAACACCUUGUACUUCCCAGAGGUUCUGCUAAGCCGUGGAGCCCAGACAGAUGUGUUUCUGAAUGGGAGUGACUUCCUCCAUUAAACCAGGAUCGCAGCAUGCGUUCAUCUGAAAAGUGUUUCCAAACAGCCAGGACUAUGCACCAAAUCUUCAGUUCUAAAAAUAUCUCCACCUCUGUACAGUUGCACAUCAUCCAAGAGCCUUUUGCAGCUUGAAGCUCUUGCAAGAAGUGCCAGCUGCUCUUUUAUUUUUAAUUUUUUAUUUUAUUUAUUUUUUAGAGGAUUCUGACUGUUUCGCCCAGGCUGGAGUGCAGUGGCACAAUCUCAGCUCACUGCAACCCUCGCCUCGCAGGUUCAAGUGAUUCUGUCGCCUCAGCCUCCCGAGUAGCUGGGAUUACAGGCGCCCACCCCCACGCCCAGCUAAUUUUUUUUUUUUUUUGUAUUUUUAGUAGAGACGGAGUUUCGCCAAGUUGGCCAGGCUGGUCUCGAACUCCUGGCCUCAAGUGAUCACCCCGUCUCUGCCUCCCAAAGUGCCGGGAUUACAGGCGUAAGCCACCACGCCCGGCCGCAGCUGCUCUUCAUCAUCGUCAUAAAGGUAGUUCCAAGUACAGGCUCUGGAUGGGGUGACAGGAUGUCUCCUAUCUCCUAAAGCUGACAAUUGAUACCGCUGACUGAACAAGCACUCUGGAAAAUGACAGACACCGCAUUCCCCAGGCUGACAGAUGAGCUGUGAGAGCGAUCCGAAUGUUGUAUGACUCCAGCCUCACACUAUUCCUCUGUGUUUCAUGGUAACCCUUAUGUGACCGUUCCUCCCAGGGAAACCAAGAGCAUAAUUCUGGAGAAGUUCGCCUGUGUUCCUUGAUACUUGAUUGUGCCAUUUCCUGGACACUGUGCAAUUUCCUGGAGACACUUCCCAGCAGGGGAAACUGCGUGGAUUGUUG
RNAcentral lists this long non-coding RNA (1340 nucleotides) under Homo sapiens (human). RNAcentral describes it as "LHRI_LNC1618.1". Lineage: Eukaryota; Metazoa; Chordata; Mammalia; Primates; Hominidae. The record is from RNAcentral.